Exophiala bonariae is the source of this 114-nucleotide non-coding RNA. NCBI's taxonomy places the organism in Eukaryota, Fungi, Ascomycota, Eurotiomycetes, Chaetothyriales, Herpotrichiellaceae. The record is from the annotation of a RefSeq genome assembly.
GGCCUUUUGGCGCAAUGGUAGCGCACAGCUCUCCUACUCUCAUUUUCUUCCAAAAAGAAAAAAUCCGUGCCUGUUGGCAAGCUGAGGUUGUGGGUUCGAGUCCCACAGGGGUCG